Mercurialis annua (annual mercury) is the source of this 248-nucleotide long non-coding RNA. RefSeq lists it as uncharacterized. The record is from RefSeq and is a predicted model, not a curated record. The transcript has 3 exons. NCBI's taxonomy places the organism in Eukaryota, Viridiplantae, Streptophyta, Magnoliopsida, Malpighiales, Euphorbiaceae.
AGGUCGAAAUCAAUUCCGUUUGUUUCCCGUGAAAGUAGACUCACGCAUCUACGUUUCUACACCUUUCGUUCGUCAAACGACUCUUCGACUACUCGCGCUCCGGAGUCGAACCAGGGUUAGCUGUUUGCCAAGAUCACGUGGAUAAGCAAGCAGUUUAUGAUUUGAAAGCUGGUCCACCCCGAUUCUUUUGAUUCCUCGGAGGUUUUUAUGUUAUUAAACUAGUUUCUAUUUUUCGAACUCUUAGACCG